RNAcentral lists this ribosomal RNA (424 nucleotides) under uncultured bacterium. RNAcentral's name for it is "partial 16S ribosomal RNA". It matches the Rfam family "Bacterial small subunit ribosomal RNA", at positions 360 to 776 of the family's 1533-position model. The record is from RNAcentral.
AAUAUUGGACAAUGGGCGAAAGCCUGAUCCAGCCAUGCCGCGUGUGUGAAGAAGGUCUUCGGAUUGUAAAGCACUUUAAGUUGGGAGGAAGGGGUGGAGGCUAAUACCUUCAAACUUUGACGUUACCAACAGAAUAAGCACCGGCUAACUCCGUGCCAGCAGCCGCGGUAAUACAAAGGGUGCAAGCGUUAAUCGGAAUUACUGGGCGUAAAGCGCGCGUAGGUGGUUUAUUAAGAUGGAAGUGAAAGCCCCGGGCUUAACCUGGGAACUGCUUUCAUAACUGGUGAGCUAGAGUACGGUAGAGGGUAGUGGAAUUUCCUGUGUAGCGGUGAAAUGCGUAGAUAUAGGAAGGAACAUCAGUGGCGAAGGCGACUACCUGGACUGAUACUGACACUGAGGUGCGAAAGCGUGGGGAGCAAACAGG